UAGAGCUAAUACAUGCACCAAAACUCCGAUUUAUGACGAGUGCAACUAUUAGACUAAAACCAACCGAACCCUCGGGUUCGUAAAGUUUUGGGGACUCUGAAUAGCUAUAAGCUGAUCGCAUGGUCUUGUACCGGCGACGUGUCUAUCAAGUGUCUGCCUUAUCAACUUUCGAUGGUAGUUUAUGUGCCUACCAUGGUUGUUACGGGUAACGGAGAAUUAGGGUUCGACUCCGGAGAGGGAGCUUGAGAAAUGGCUACCACAUCCAAGGAAGGCAGCAGGCGCGCAAAUUACCCACUCUCGGCAAGAGGAGGUAGUGACGAGAAAUAACGAGACCGUUCUCAUUGAGGCCGGUUAUCGGAAUGAGUUGGAUCUAAAUGUUCUGACGAGGAUCUAUGAGAGGGCAAGUCUGGUGCCAGCAGCCGCGGUAAUUCCAGCUCUCAUAGUGUAUAUCGUUGCUGUUGCGGUUAAAAAGCUCGUAGUUGGAUCUGCGCUUGAGAGCUUGGUCCACCAUUUUGGUGCUGAACUAAGUGUUAUCUCAGUGUUCAUUUUAUUCGUUGGUUCUCUUAACGUUGCCUUUACCGGUUGCGUUAGGUGGCUAACAAGUUUACUUUGAAAAAAUUAGAGUGCUUAAAGCGGGCUUGUAAUGCUUGAAUAGUGGUGCAUGGAAUAAUAGAAUACGAUUACGGAUCUAUUUUGUUGGUUUUCUGAUCUGCAAUAAUGGUUAAGAGGGACAAACGGGGGCAUUCGUAUCGCUGCGCGAGAG
This 763-nucleotide ribosomal RNA is filed under the name Trypanoxyuris atelis. Its description in RNAcentral is "SSU rRNA". It matches the Rfam family "Eukaryotic small subunit ribosomal RNA", at positions 159 to 910 of the family's 1831-position model. The record is from RNAcentral. Lineage: Eukaryota; Metazoa; Nematoda; Chromadorea; Rhabditida; Oxyuridae.